CCGCUUAGCUGCUGAGCAGACUUAGAUGGUUUGGUGUGAUCUGCUCUGAGCCCUGCUUCUGGGUGCUGCGAGGUGUUCUGAGGCAAGCUCCGAAGUUGCUCCGACAUGGUGAGCACAGACAGGGUCACUGCCAACAACCGGGAGUAACAGGGGGCUGAGCAGCGGGAGCUGGUGUGGUGUGUCUUUCCCGGGGCUGGGUGGGAACCUGCGGCCAUCAGUGAGGUCCCGUGAGGUCCUAGCCAUUCACUGGACCUAAGGGUAGCCUCUGAAUAACUUCACUAUGGCAGCUGUAUCUGCUCAGAGCAUUUGGAACAGUGGGUUGUGUGUAGAAACAUCCUUAGCAGGGUGAGAAACUCGGAGAGCCCUAGUUUCUACAAGUUCUACCCUCAGCAUUUAAUAUUAAGGUGUAUGAUCCAUUUAGAAUUAAUUUUGUGGCGAAUGUAAAAGGCAUCUCAUGUGUUCGGUAGCAAUGCAAUAUUAAGCUGUGUUGUAAAGGAGUAUUAGCGAUGUGAAGGAUUUACUAAUGGUUAGUGUCGGAGGCCAGCUCCGGCAAUCUAAGGUACCCGAUGGGGAAGAGCACCAGCAGGGGCAAGACUUGGACUUGGGAGAUAUUUAGGGUUAAUUUUUAAUCCACGUUUACCUGUCUUAAGUCUAAGUUAAUUUGCAGUAGUAGCUGACCUGCCUGAGUUCCCCUGAGGCCAGAAACUGCAGUCUCUGACGUUUAGCACCUCAUAGUAAAACAGGGAGAUUAAGUAAAGUAGCCUUUGUCCUUAUCUCCACCUGCUAGCUAAAGACACAGGAAGAAAAAGAGACACUUUGAAAAGUGAUUUUAAUCUUUAUUUCUAAAUUCUUUUUCUCAAAAAAAAUUC
Molecule: long non-coding RNA, 869 nt
Filed under: Mus pahari (shrew mouse)
Lineage: Eukaryota; Metazoa; Chordata; Mammalia; Rodentia; Muridae
Description: lncRNA (MGP_PahariEiJ_G0005148.1)
Source: RNAcentral